This is a small nucleolar RNA of Arabis alpina (gray rockcress), 108 nucleotides long. It matches the Rfam family "Plant small nucleolar RNA R71". From Rfam's summary of the family: R71 is a member of the C/D box family of snoRNAs containing the C (UGAUGA) and D (CUGA) box motifs. Multiple nearly identical copies of this snoRNA have been identified in Arabidopsis, and it is thought to function as a 2'-O-ribose methylation guide for 18S ribosomal RNA. The record is from Rfam. Lineage: Eukaryota; Viridiplantae; Streptophyta; Magnoliopsida; Brassicales; Brassicaceae.
AAACCAUGGUGAGGAAAAUCUCUCUGAUAAGCCUUAAACCUCUCUCAUGAAGCCUUGAAUGCUUCCUUUGGUCCUUGAGCGAAUGUAGAGAUCUUGGCCCUCAAGUCU